RNAcentral lists this ribosomal RNA (496 nucleotides) under uncultured bacterium. Its description in RNAcentral is "partial 16S ribosomal RNA". It matches the Rfam family "Bacterial small subunit ribosomal RNA", at positions 28 to 523 of the family's 1533-position model. The record is from RNAcentral.
GAUGAACGCUAGCGGCAGGCCUAAUACAUGCAAGUCGAGGGGUAGAGGAAGCUUGCUUCCUUGAGACCGGCGCACGGGUGCGUAACGCGUAUGCAACCUACCUUUUACAGAGGGAUAGCCCAGAGAAAUUUGGAUUAAUACCUCAUAGUAUAUAGUCUUCGCAUGUUGACUAUAUUAAAGUUCCAACGGUAAAAGAUGGGCAUGCGUCCUAUUAGCUAGAUGGUAAGGUAACGGCUUACCAUGGCAACGAUAGGUAGGGGUCCUGAGAGGGAGAUCCCCCACACUGGUACUGAGACACGGACCAGACUCCUACGGGAGGCAGCAGUGAGGAAUAUUGGACAAUGGGCGCAAGCCUGAUCCAGCCAUGCCGCGUGCAGGAAGAAGCAUCUAUGGUGUGUAAACUGCUUUUGUACAGGAAGAAACACCCCGACGUGUCGGGACUUGACGGUACUGUAAGAAUAAGGAUCGGCUAACUCCGUGCCAGCCGCCGCAGUAA